AAUGAACGUUGGCGGCGUGGAUUAGGCAUGCAAGUCGAGCGAGAAGAGUUUGGUAGCUUGCUAUUGAACUCGGACAGCGGCGAAAGGGAGAGUAACGCGUAGUUACGUGCCCCAGGGUUCGGGAUAGCCACGGGAAACUGUGGGUAAUGCCGAAUAACAUCUCCGGAUCAAAGGUGUGAUUCCGCCCUGGGAGCGGACUGCGUCCUACUAGCUAGUUGGCGGGGUAAUGGCCCACCAAGGCGACAAUGGGUAGCGGGUGUGAGAGCAUGACCCGUCUCACUGGGACUGAGACACUGCCCAGACACCUACGGGUGGCUGCAGUCGGGAAUCUUCGGCAAUGGGCGAAAGCCUGACCGAGCGACGCCGCGUGCGGGAUGAAGGCCCUCGGGUUGUAAACCGCUGUCGUAGGGGAGGAAGGCUCCGUGAAGAACGGGGUUUGACCUAGCCUAGGAGGAAGUACGGGCUAAGUUCGUGCCAGCCGCCGCCGUAA
This 490-nucleotide ribosomal RNA is filed under the name uncultured bacterium. Its description in RNAcentral is "partial 16S ribosomal RNA". It matches the Rfam family "Bacterial small subunit ribosomal RNA", at positions 28 to 523 of the family's 1533-position model. The record is from RNAcentral.